RNAcentral lists this ribosomal RNA (482 nucleotides) under uncultured bacterium. Its description in RNAcentral is "bacterial SSU rRNA". It matches the Rfam family "Bacterial small subunit ribosomal RNA", at positions 30 to 507 of the family's 1533-position model. The record is from RNAcentral.
AUUGAACGCUGGCGGAAUGCUUUACACAUGCAAGUCGAACGGCAGCACGGGGCAACCUGGUGGCGAGUGGCGAACGGGUGAGUAAUACAUCGGAACGUGCCCAAUCGUGGGGGAUAACGUAGCGAAAGUUACGCUAAUACCGCAUACGAUCUACGGAUGAAAGCGGGGGAUCGCAAGACCUCGCGCGAGUGGAGCGGCCGAUGUCAGAUUAGGUAGUUGGUGGGGUAAAGGCUCACCAAGCCAACGAUCUGUAGCUGGUCUGAGAGGACGACCAGCCACACUGGAACUGAGACACGGUCCAGACUCCUACGGGAGGCAGCAGUGGGGAAUUUUGGACAAUGGGCGCAAGCCUGAUCCAGCCAUUCCGCGUGCAGGGUGAAGGCCUUCGGGUUGUAAACUGCUUUUGUACGGAACGAAACGGCGAGCUCUAAUACAGUUUGCUAAUGACGGUACCGUAAGAAUAAGCACCGGCUAACUACGUG